RNAcentral lists this long non-coding RNA (3258 nucleotides) under Canis lupus familiaris (dog). RNAcentral describes it as "lncRNA (ENSCAFG00000058206.1, ENSCAFG00845018989.1)". Lineage: Eukaryota; Metazoa; Chordata; Mammalia; Carnivora; Canidae. The record is from RNAcentral.
UUUUUUUUGUUUAAUCUUUCAUUGUUUAAUCUUUCGUAUACUGCCCUUGAGAGUAUUUCUCAGUCUGAGCUCUUGUUUAUUAAUUAUUCUUCAGUUGCAGGAGUCCCACUAGUUUCAUCUAAAUAUUCUUUAUUCCAACCAUUAUUAAAGCUCAUUAUUUCUACUUGAUUCAUUGAUUUCUUGUUUUUGCCUCAAAUUACCAAUAUCCUUCUUUGCCUCUCCUUUUAAACCAUUUUACUGUGAACUAGCAGACAUAUGUAAGAAAUACACAAAACAUUAAUGUACAGCCAAUGAUUGUCAAGUGAACACCCAUGUAACUAGUACCUAGGUCAAGGAAAAGAACAUUGCCAACACCCCAGAGGUCCUCUUUAGGGAUAAUUUGUAAACCUUUUAGGAGCUAGAAGCUCCUUUUACCCACAAGACCUAGCAUACUUCCUUACACAUAGUAGGUUCUCAAGUGAGUAAUAUAUCAUUUAUUUAAUGUCUACUUAUGGAAUACUUUCUACCUCCAAAGAUUCCAACUCUUUUGAAAUUAUCCAUGUGAUUUGCUUUGUAUAAUGAAAUGUGAGAAGUGAUUCAUUAUUUCCAAGAGGGAUCAUUAAGAGCCAUUGUAUGAUUCAGUAGGGUCCUUCACUCUGCUUGGGAAAUUAUGGGAACAGGUGUCAAAGAUCUGUCAGCCUUGCUCCCUGAGUAACUAUAAUUAGCAGCGCUAUCUUGCUGACACACUGGACAUGCAACAUGAGUGAAAGCUAGACAUCACACGAUUUGUGCAUCAGUACCUCCUAUCUUAUUUUUAUUAUAUAAAAUGCAAGAGGGUUCCUGGAUGGCUCAGUUGGUUGAGUGUCUGACUCUUGAUCUCAGCUCAGAUCUUGAUCUCAGGGUUAUGAGUUCAAGCCUACACUGGCUCCAUGCCCAGCACAGAGUCUACUUAAAAAAAAAUGGGGAUCCCUAGGUGGCGCAGCGGAGCAGAUCCUAAGGAAUGUCAUUCCCUUUCCAUGGAGAACGCCACCCCCCUUGCAUGGACAUGUUCUGGGACAGAGCAAGUUCUAAGCAGGGUGUUGAAAAUCUAGGGGGAUCAGACUCCCUACCUUUAACCUUUGGGGUCCAUACUUUCUUUGCAUUUUAAUAUUUUUUUGGAGGGGGUGGAAUUUUUAAACAUCAAAUAUAGUUCUCACAAUAUAUUGUGAGAACUAAUUUACAGGUGAUUCCUGAUAUGUGUUCCUGAUUUUUUUUUUUAACCCACUGUGACUAGUUUCCUCUCAUGUAGAAUGGAGAUUACUAUGGAGUGAAUGUCAUUGGUUUAUUGGGAAAUCUAAUUGGGAUAAUACUCAGUAUUUGUAUAGCUCUUAAAACAGAGUCUUGCACAUAGUAAGGAAUCAAGAAAUGUUCAUUAUUAUAUUGCAAGUUUAAUUCAAAACAAAAACAGUUGAAUAAAUACAACAUACAAUUAAUUUUAACAAUUAAGUUCUAUCAUUUUGUUAAGAAGUAUCAGGGGCUUUUACUACAGUUCUACACAAAUUUAUAAAAAAGACAUAUUUAUUUUUUAAAAAUUUAUAAAGCAAAGAAUUAAUUUUAUACUAAGUAGUAAAAUAUUAGAGACAUCUCGUAUAAAGAAGAUAAAAAUUUCAAGAAGAAAUAAAACAGAAAAAAAGGGCAGCCCGGGUGACUCAAGUGGUUUAGCGCCGCCUUCGGCCCAGGGCCUGAUUCUGGACACCCGGGAUUGAGUCUCAUGUCAGGCUCCUUGCAUGGCGCCUGCUUCUCCCUCUGCCUGUGUCUCUGCUUCUCUCUCUCCUCUCUGUGUAUUCUCAGAAAUAAAUAAAUAAAAUCUUUAAAAAAAGAUUAAAGCAGAAAAAAAGAAAUAAAAAGGAAUAAUAUUUAGAAGUGAAAUAAUAUUUUUUGCAUUCUGAUUAUAUGUCUGGAAACAUCAGAUUCCUCCAAAAUUAUCAAAAGAACAAAAGGGUAAAAUAUAACAUUAUUUAAUAACAAUCAAGUGGAUUAUUAUAUUGAUACAAAAAAUCAACAUGAAAUCAUGAAGAAAAUUAUCCAUUCACAAGUUACUUACAAAUUAAAAAUCUUUUUAAUUUGAUCAAUUUCAAAGAUGUAUUUCCUAUCAACUCCAUUGAAAGGAAGGUGAUUAUCAUGUCUCCAUUUUUAUUUUCUUCCUCUUACCCCUGAACCCCAUAUAGGUUGGGGCUUUCUCAGCUAUGUUGGUUCUAGCUUGUUUCCCAGACACUGAGAUGCCCCUUCUGAUGUUUUCUGGUUGGGUGAGCCCUGUUGAGCGGUUUCACUUCCACCUCUUCUCCCUUCACCAGAUAGGGAAAUGAAUCCUGGAUUCAGAGCUCCUCCCUGCCCUGCUCUGCCUCAUUUUCUCCUCACUGUCUGGCUCACAGUGGCCACUGCAGAUGCACCUGGAACAGAUAAGUAAAGAAAAAACCAUGUCCUUAUCCCUGAGUAAUUAGAAUUAAACAAAGCAAUGCACAUACAUAAUGAGUUAUGGGAGUUAUGGUUGGUUUGCCAUGCUCAGGGCCUUUCUUCCUGGGCUCCCACACUUAAUCACCCCAACCUUUCUACAGACCCCAACUAUGCUAACUCCUGUGUCAGUAACACCCACUUCUGCAUCUUCAGCCUCAACCUCUCUUGGAAAUGGGGGAAGCUGGUCCCAUGCAGGGCAUGAUGGGAGGGGAGCAGUGUGAGAGGAGCAAGCAGUGGGAACUGAUGGAGCAGGGGGGCCCAGGGGCAAACAAGAGGCAAGAGCUGCUUGUGAGGAGGCAGGGAGAGAGGAGGCAUCACCUGGGUAUGUCAGAGAUCUUCUGAGUCCCCAGUAUGUGCCUCAGGAGGUCAUACUCCAUGCUUUAUGCAAAAAGAACUACUUAGAAUCUAGCUCGGCUUUCAGGAUAAUUUCACGUAAAACAGAAAACCUGUAAUCAUUUUGGAUUGUAAAAGCAGACGUAUGUUUAAAAAAGAGAACUGCAUCUAUUUCUUUGAGCAUUUUAACACUAUGUGAAUUACUACGACAGGAAGCCUGGUGGUCUGAUGACGCAUCUUCUAUAAAUUGUUGCAUUAAAAAGGCUAAGCCUGUGAGCGCCUGGGUGGCUCAGUGGUUGAGCAUCUGCCUGGGUGGCUCAGGUUGUGAGCCAUUCCUGGGAUCCUGGAAUCGAGUCCCACAUCAGGCUUCCUGCAGGGAGACUGCUUCUCCCUCUGCCUAUGUCUCUGCCUGUCUUUCAUGAAUAAAUAAAUAAAAUAUUAAAAAAAAAAAAG